UUGAGCUAGACUAGAUAAUUUGGAAUGUUGGUGACCUUGUAGCAGCAGUCAAGAAUUCAUUUGGAUAUGUUUGGUUUUGAUGUGCAGUCACCAUUGCCUCUUACUUUUAAAUCCAAGACUCCAAUAUAGCUAAGACAGUUGCACCAUUGCAGCUUGAAAUGGUGAUGUACCACUCAGAUUUUGGUUUGUAGCAUUGGACCCUGAAUCCAGGAUAUCUCCUGUUUUUGCCUUUCCUGAAGUUACGGUCUUAACAUUACCGAUAGACUGAUUCCGCUUUAUAACAGGAACUUUUUUCUUUAAAAGGUAUUUGGUUUUUAGAAAUGCUUUCAUUCUGUGCCAGUUUUGGCCUGUCAUAUCUCACAGGGCAGCAUUGUGUAUUGCCAAGGUUUUCACCAGAUCAAAGUCUCACUUGCUUCACCAGUUGACUAGCUUUGGUCGUGGGCUGGUUUUUCUGCAGGAUGUGUCAUGAUUGCAGCAGCUUUCAUGAGCCUUCUCCAUUAUCACGAGUCCAAAGCCUACUGCAUAUGUAAGUAUGUCUAAUAAUCAUGUAAACAUCAUGGUGCUAUUGCAAGAUUUUAGGCAAGGCAAUAUGCAACAGGAUAUUGAAUGGACUGCUGCAGCAGUAGGGCUAGCAAAUCAUGUAUUUCCAUUGGAUUGAUCGUGCAUUUCCAUGGUUUGAUGAGUUGUUUUUGGUUAGCCAAGAGUGAUAAGUGAAGUUGGUUUGUUGCAAGUUGUGUGCCUUGAUGCACUGCUUGCUGCAGAGUUUAUUUGGCUUAUGGCAUGAGGUUUAACAGGUUCACCACUGGUUAUGUGCUUAUGGUGCUGCUGCAAGAUAAUAAGCAAGGGUGCACAC
Molecule: long non-coding RNA, 853 nt
Organism: Lathyrus oleraceus (garden pea)
Lineage: Eukaryota; Viridiplantae; Streptophyta; Magnoliopsida; Fabales; Fabaceae
Exons: 3
Source: RefSeq, a predicted model, not a curated record